AUGAAGUCAAAAAUUCGGAGUAUCCCUAAGCAAAAAAUCCUCACAAAACUAGUUCUCAAACCAUGUUGUCCUUGACAGUGGAUUCUUAACCAGACACUAGCAGCUACACACUGCCUACCCUGACUGCUUCAUGUUCCUGUAGAUGAAUGGAUAGAGGGGUCAGUGGAGGUGGGACCUGGAGGGCAGGUUAGGGGGCACAGGAAGCUGCAGCACUGGACAUUCAUAUCAAGAAAGGCCUCGUUUAGAUGGCAUCAGAGCUCAAGGGUAGAGAGCUUAGCUGGAGUUAGGUAGCUGCCCAGCCAGAGAUGGGAUCUCGGUUGAUAAAGGGGAGGCAGGCAGAGGAGGUGGGGUGUGAUUAAUCACACACAGGCCCACUAACUGGCCUCAUGCACUUAGAUAUAAACCUCGGCGAGUCAGAGGGGCAUCGGCAUACGUGUAGGGGGACUUUGCGGACACUCCUAAGUUCCACAAGCCGACGCAUGCCAAAGGCAGAGGCCCUGAGCUGUCAAACGCAGACAUGCAGGAUAGGAAGGGCAAGACAAGCCGGGAGAUGGGGCGGGGCAAACUGGACAGGGAAGACGGGGGGGGGGCAUCUGGCGUGGCCGCAAUGGCGCGUCACUACCAGGGCUUCAACCCAGCCGCGUACCUGCAGUAUAAUUACACGCCUCCCCGGGCUGACUUCAGCCGCGCCGACAGCGUCAUGCGCUGGAAACUGGGCUGCCUGCACCGAGCCUUCACAGAAGGCGACAUACAGGGAGAGACGCUGGUGGACAUUGGAUCUGGUCCCACUCUGUAUCAGGUUCUGAGUGGCUGCGAGGUUUUCAGCCACGUGGUUCUGACGGACUUCCUGGAUGUGAACCGGCAGGAGCUGCGGCGGUGGUUGGCAGGCGAGGAGGGCGACUUCGACUGGGCGCCGUACCUGCAGCACGUCUGCCAGCUGGAGGGACGAAGCCCCUCUGCUUGGCGUGAGAAAGCGGCCCGCCUGCGCUCGGUGGUGUCCGACGUCCUGCCCAUCGACGUGCACCAAGCUUCCCCGCUGGCCGAGGGCACCCUGCCGCCCUCAGGGGCCGACUGCUUGGUGUCCUCCUUCUGCCUGGAGAGCGUGAGCCCGGACUUGCCCUGCUUCACCCAGGCUCUGCGCCACAUCGGCUCCCUGCUGCGUCCCGGGGGCUGCUUGCUCCUCAUUGGGGCCCUGGGGGAGACCUAUUACAUGGGGGGGCCGGGCGUGCGCAUCCCCGUGGUGCCGCUGGAUGAGACGCAGGUCUGCGCAAGCCUGAGGGCCAGCGGCUACCUGCUAAUACAGCUCUGCGUCUACAGGCUGCCUGCAGACAUGAAGGUGGGCGUGGAUGAUGUCACCGGGAUAUUUUACGCGAAGGUGAAGAAAGUCGCAGGAUAACUUAGGAGAGGAAUGACAGCCAAUAAGCUGGAUUAGCCAGUUAACAGGAGACGCCACCUGCUGGAUCAGCGUUGAGGAUCAGCAGAGGAAAUGGUGCAUUUGCAUUAUGAAAAAGCUGCUCAGACUUAUAGGCACUCAGAGCGAGCGGCUGCUGGGGAGGCAUCUCUGCUGCCUCAUCAUCGCUAUCACACAGAAAUCAGGGGGAAGGUAAGCAUGUUCCAUGCAGUGGACGUACCUGAGGAGGGUAGAUGGCUACCGCUGUCUGUGCUGACCUGUAACGGAAAGAAAACCUGUGUUUUGCUACAGGAUGCACAAGUACAAUGAGGUAAAAGUUUGUACUGCUUCAGUUAUUCCAGACCUUUCAAUUGUGCCCCCUACACCCCCUACACACAUUUGUAUUCAUACCUUUGUGGGGACCAUCCAUUCAUUUCUAAGGGAAAAAAACCAUAUAGUAUUUGGUUCCCACAAUGUAAUAUAUAUGUAACUCUCCCACCCCCCCACACACAAAAUUCUUUACAGUCAGCAGAGUCAUUGCCUUAAUUGCAUUGCAUCGCAGUGCCUAUUACCACCGGUAGGUUGCCAUGGCUACCCCCACCUGUUAGCACAGACCCAGCAGUGGGGUGGAAGUGAUAAUAGGAAAUGUGCACUUUAUUGUGGAGAGACUGGGAGCCAGACUCAAGCAAUCCACUCACUAAUAAUGUCCAGCGCUCUUGUUAACAUGACAACGUAACUUUAAAAACCUCCUUCAAGAAAAUGUUUUUCCCUUCUUUUCUUGAAGCUGAAGGUGACCCUUCUUUUCAUUUCUCUGAUACCGGUGACUCAUUCAGGCUGCACUGCUGAGCUUCUGUCCUGGCCACAAAGCUCCUUCACAGCAGCACUGAAGCCUGGCUUCCAGCUGAAGGAGACUGAAGAAUGGGCCUGACAAUUUAAGUUUCAAGGAAACACACGGUGAAGCCAAAGAGGCCCAGGGUGUGAGCUUUAGAAGCAUGUUAAACCUCUAACUGAUUGAACUGCUAUAACCCCCCUUUGAUUGCCAAUUUCUGGCACCUCCUUUUGUUUACAAUAAAGUAUCCAGAAUUUACACUCCAAGAUCUCUCACAUAAUAUCAGUCCACAACUGAUAUUACAGUUGUUGUAUAUAUGUCCACGUUUUCGGCAUUAGACGUUCACAGAAGGUACUGCAAUGAAGAAUCUUCAUCCAAAUGGGAUUCAAUGCUUCAGCCUUCCUGUGCGGUACAUGCAUUAGAUACUGUGGUCUCUCAUGUCUUAUUAGGGCAUGCUAUGGACAUGCAAAAUGUUUUGAAACUUCCAGCCUACUGUCAGUCCGGUGAUCGUGUGUCACGUGAGUUUGGAUGAAUGCACUACCCACUAAAACCACCUUUCUGCUGACAAAUGGCGGAAAUGUCCUGAACGGUGACCGAGGGCAGUAGGGGUGAGGCAGGCUGUCCAUUACUCCACUCCCAAUUAACAUCUUCCACUCGUCUGUGAAGUUUGUUAAUUCCGUGAAAGCAGAACCAUUGAUUCAAGGUUUCUGCUGCUCGCUUUUCCUUCUUCAAGCGACGUCCAGUGUUCAUCUCUGGUGCCCAGAUUCACGGUGAGUCAGAGUAACCUUUAAACAAGUUUCUUUAACUUUUUCUCUCUCUCUUCUGGAAAGUAGCUAUCAGUCGUUAGUCUGUUUGCUGCCAUCCCACUGUGACACCGGCUGGCAUCCUGCAGGUGUUAGGUGAUGGAAAAUGAAGUCCUCACAGUAAAGAGCUUCCAGGACAUUCCGUGUCCUUCAUCGCAGUGUCAGCAUGAAAGAAGGCUGCACUGUGUGGCAGGUUGCUUCCAGACUUUCUACGGUUGCAGUACACAAGAACAAGGUGAAGCAGGAGACACUGGGAACAACCAAAAACUAGCCAGGUUGAGCCAGAAGCAACUUUCUAAUGCCAGAGAUGAUCAUCAACUUUGUCUGACAGUGUCUCAUGACUUGGAGGAUGACACCAAGUGACAUUCACAGAGAAUGGGAAACAUAAGUGGUGUGAAGUGCACUGCUAGGACAAUUUGUAACAGGCUCCUAGAAGCAGGACUGAAGACCUAUAAAGCAAGGAAGAACUCCUUCAUCAACGAGAAGCAGAGAAGA
Paramormyrops kingsleyae is the source of this 3517-nucleotide RNA transcript. It is a transcript of the gene named phenylethanolamine N-methyltransferase, with no coding region annotated. NCBI's taxonomy places the organism in Eukaryota, Metazoa, Chordata, Actinopteri, Osteoglossiformes, Mormyridae. The record is from RefSeq and is a predicted model, not a curated record.